CCUACGGGUGACAGCAGUGAGGAAUAUUGGUCAAUGGACGAGAGUCUGAACCAGCCAAGUAGCGUGAAGGAUGACUGCCCUAUGGGUUGUAAACUUCUUUUAUAAAGGAAUAAAACGAGGCACGUGUGCCGUUUUGCAUGUACUUUAUGAAUAAGGAUCGGCUAACUCCGUGCCAGCAGCCGCGGUAAUACGGAGGAUCCGAGCGUUAUCCGGAUUUAUUGGGUUUAAAGGGAGCGUAGAUGGGUUGUUAAGUCAGUGGUGAAAGUUUGCGGCUCAACCGUAAAAUUGCAGUUGAAACUGGCAGUCUUGAGUACAGGAGAGGUAGGCGGAAUUCGUGGUGUAGCGGUGAAAUGCUUAGAUAUCACGAAGAACCCCGAUUGCGAAGGCAGCUUACUAAACUGUGACUGACAUUGAUGCUCGAAAGUGUGGGUAUCAAACAGGAUUAGAUACCCUGGUAGUC
RNAcentral lists this ribosomal RNA (460 nucleotides) under uncultured bacterium. RNAcentral describes it as "partial 16S ribosomal RNA". It matches the Rfam family "Bacterial small subunit ribosomal RNA", at positions 338 to 795 of the family's 1533-position model. The record is from RNAcentral.